RNAcentral lists this long non-coding RNA (1192 nucleotides) under Capsella rubella. Its description in RNAcentral is "long non-coding RNA (CRUB_LNC001565)". Lineage: Eukaryota; Viridiplantae; Streptophyta; Magnoliopsida; Brassicales; Brassicaceae. The record is from RNAcentral.
ACCAAUUAAUCAUAAUAUUAAUUAACCAAUUAUUCAAUAACCACAAUUUACACCAGUAACCUAGCAUGCCUCUAAAUCAGGUUGCAACAACAAUUAAACAUAUUCAUAAACAGAACAACCGAGACCCUAGAUCAUCCUCCUCUCCUCGCCAUGAUUCCACGUAUCACACUUUACCUGCACCAUAAACACAAUGAGAUGCGUGAGUAUUAUCACAAAUACUCAGUGAAGCGAUCCUCCCAUCCACUGGGCUAUACACACAAGCAAAUUAAACUAAUCUAACAUGCAUCAGAUUAACCAAAACAAACAAACUAGGCAUAAAAAGACACGAAUUACACGCUGUCCAGAAAAACUGUCCAAAAACGACACCGACCCCGCAGAAACCCUGAAAUCGCCUCUCAACUCCCUAGAGAACGAAUCCAUCACCUCCAAAGCUCCAGCCAUGAGCCCUAACACUCAAACAUACAAUAACAGCAACCAAAACACACAAACAUGGCCACACAAAACAAAUCUAGGCUUCCAAAUCAAUCAAACACACAUAAUAGGGUUAAACAUGCUUAGAUCAGCCAUAGUCACGCACUCACCUCUGAUUUGGAUUGGAAGGGAUGGACGAAACAGAGAAGAAGAACACUCUAUCAACCUCUCUUCACACUCACAGCCACGAAUCCCAUUGAUCCCUUGCUAGAACACUGGAGAACAGCCUCAAAAAACCUCCAGAAACCCUCACAAGCCUCUCCUUAAGCUUUAGGAACAACCAACUCACAACCAACUCACAACCAUCUCUCUCUCUUGUUUUCAAGAAGCGACAAAUGCCAAAACUGAGAAAGAAAGACUGCUUCCAUGAGUUUAAAGUCGUGCCUAGGGUUUCUCCAAUCAAUUCUAAUUAAACCGACGGUUUAAAAGCUAAACAAGUUGACUGGAAUUAAAAGGGCUCUACAUUUUUAAUAAUUUAUAUUCUAGAGCUCUUUUUUAAAUUUUUUUUAUUUUGUUUUUGCCUUUUGGUUUUACACAUCAUACAUUAAUUAACAUUACAAAGAAAGGAGAGAUAUUUAAGAAGCUUGGAAAAUUGAUUAGUCAAGUAAUUAACAAUACCUUCGUGAAAAUAUCCAUAGCUACCUACAUUGUUUUGGUUUUCAUCACAUAGAUAGGUUCUUCACGAGCAUUUCCUAAUUGAUCAAGAUGCAGUGUCAUCGGC